Molecule: ribosomal RNA, 433 nt
Filed under: uncultured bacterium
Lineage: Bacteria
Description: partial 16S ribosomal RNA
Rfam family: Bacterial small subunit ribosomal RNA
Source: RNAcentral
AACGAACGCUGGCGGCAUGCCUAACACAUGCAAGUCGAACGAGACCUUCGGGUCUAGUGGCGCACGGGUGCGUAACGCGUGGGAACCUGCCCUUAGGUUCGGAAUAACUCCCCGAAAGGGGUGCUAAUACCGGAUAAUGUCUUCGGACCAAAGAUUUAUCGCCUUUGGAUGGGCCCGCGUUGGAUUAGCUAGUUGGUAGGGUAAAAGCCUACCAAGGCGACGAUCCAUAGCUGGUCUGAGAGGAGGAUCAGCCACACUGGGACUGAGACACGGCCCAGACUCCGACGGGAGGCAGCAGUGGGGAAUAUUGGACGAUGGGCGAAAGCCUGAUCCAGCAAUGCCGCGUGAGUGAUGAAGGCCUUAGGGUUGUAAAGCUCUUUUACCCGGGAUGAUAAUGACAGUACCGGGAGAAUAAGCUCCGGCUAACUCCGUG